AUUGAACGCUGGCGGCAGGCCUAACACAUGCAAGUCGGGCGAGCGGCGGACGGGUGAGUUAUGCAUGUGGAUCUGCCUGAUGGAGGGCGAUCACAACCGGACACGGUAGCUAAUACCGUACACCUUAACAUGAACCCAUUUGGGAUUAGCUAGUAGGUGAGGUAACGGGUUACCUGGGCCCCGAUCCCUAGCUGGUGUGAGAGGAUGCACAGGCCCACUGAGACUGAGACAGGGCCCAGACUCCUACGUGAGGCAGCAGUGGGGAAUAUUGGACAAUGGGCGCAAGCCUGAUGCAGCCAUGCCGCGGGUGUGAAGAAGGCCUUCGGGUUGUAAAGUACUUUCAGUCGGGAGGCGUUACCGACAGAAGAAGCACCGGCUAACUCCGUGCCAGCAGCCGCGGUAAUUC
Molecule: ribosomal RNA, 406 nt
Filed under: uncultured bacterium
Lineage: Bacteria
Description: partial 16S ribosomal RNA
Rfam family: Bacterial small subunit ribosomal RNA
Source: RNAcentral